This 86-nucleotide transfer RNA is filed under the name Sporomusaceae bacterium. RNAcentral describes it as "tRNA-Leu". It matches the Rfam family "tRNA". Rfam says of the family: Transfer RNA (tRNA) molecules are approximately 80 nucleotides in length. Lineage: Bacteria; Bacillati; Bacillota; Negativicutes; Selenomonadales; Sporomusaceae. The record is from RNAcentral. RNAcentral also lists the same sequence under 3 other names.
GCCGAAGUGGCGGAAUUGGCAGACGCACCUGACUCAAAAUCAGACGAGGUCUCCUCGUGCCGGUUCGAGUCCGGCCUUCGGCACCA